This 1177-nucleotide unclassified non-coding RNA is filed under the name Hevea brasiliensis (rubber tree). Lineage: Eukaryota; Viridiplantae; Streptophyta; Magnoliopsida; Malpighiales; Euphorbiaceae. The record is from RNAcentral.
AUAAUAAUAAUAAUAAUAGAAUUCAUAAAUAAUAGAAAUAGUACUAAUAUUUCCAAAAUAACAGAAAUAAAAUCUCCUAAUUUUACAAUGAAAAUUAACAGAAAUAUUCCUAAAUAGAAUUUGAAUCUUCCGAUACUGCAUCAAGGUGCCUUCUAUGCUUACUUUGUUUUUUUAUUCAUUUUGUUUGCAUUAUGUUGUUUUUCAUUCUUAAUUCAUCUAAUGGCAGUUAUCUAGAAAAUAAGUUUUAACAAAGUAACCAUAGAAUCUCCCAUCAUAACAUACUUAAGGGCAGUUUGUGGGAGUGUAAUGCAGAGGAGCAUGCAGAGUGUAAUGCCCAAAAAGUGUUUGCCACAGAGGCACUUGAGCAAACUAACAAACUUGAAAACAGCUUGAGUUUGGAACUCUGAACAGCUCAAGCUUGUGUGCACAAGCAAAUUGCGCCAACUUCAAGCUUUCUUUUUCCUGCAAAAUUGCUUGACAGGCCCAGCCAAAUACCAUACACUGCAUCUUAAACUUGAUCACUAAGCUACUAGCCUGACAGGUGACAGCCUAAUAUAAUAAUUAUAGAAAUACCAAAUAUAUUAGCAGUUUUAAUUAUAAGUGUGUGUACCUUUUAUUGGCACAGAUUUUCAAAUCUAUAAAUCUUUUACAAACAAAAGUUGAUGUAUUUAGGCAUUUUAAAUUAACAGAACAUUUCAUCUCAAAGUAAUAACUAAAUACCCUAAUUUUAGAUGAUUCACCAUGUAAAAGAAGCUUGUAUUGAAAGUGGUUGUUAAUAGACCAAUAGAUCUAUAAAAGUUUAAAAUUGUCGAGCCCAAUUGGUUUGAUGCUUAAUCAUCAAGUGGAACCAAGCUCUGAGAAUAUGAUGCUGAACCAAGUUUUGAUACAUUUUUAUUAACUUGUUAAAAAUGACCCAGAAUUGGUUUUUAUGCUUUAAAAAUGGUAAGAAAAUCUUAAAAUAAAUAAGUCAUUAAAAGUGCAGAAAUGUCCCAUUUAUGAAAUGAAUAACUUGAACAAUGGCACUUGUAAAGAGGCAACUGAAACAACCCUGUAUCAUGGAACCUAAACUUAUGGCAUAUAAUUAAGCAACUCAUUAACAAACAAUUAGAUUCAAGGCCAAAGUUGGGCAGUAUUAUCAAGAGCAAGCGAAGAACCUGAGUAGGGAAAUAUCGUAUGA